AUGUAUUCCCAUACACUGCGGUUCCUGCGCUCCGUGCGCCUUGCCCUAACGCCGCUCGCUACGGUUUUUAGCA
Molecule: small RNA, 73 nt
Filed under: Gammaproteobacteria bacterium
Lineage: Bacteria; Pseudomonadati; Pseudomonadota; Gammaproteobacteria
Description: sX9 sRNA
Rfam family: Xanthomonas sRNA sX9
Source: RNAcentral